Molecule: transfer RNA, 71 nt
Filed under: Caudoviricetes sp.
Lineage: Duplodnaviria; Heunggongvirae; Uroviricota; Caudoviricetes
Description: tRNA-Gln
Rfam family: tRNA
About the family: Transfer RNA (tRNA) molecules are approximately 80 nucleotides in length.
Source: RNAcentral
AGCCCUAUCGCCAAACGGUAAGGCAGUGGGUUUUGAUCCCACGACUACAGGUUCGAAUCCUGUUAGGGCUG